Molecule: ribosomal RNA, 193 nt
Filed under: Dehalococcoidia bacterium
Lineage: Bacteria; Bacillati; Chloroflexota; Dehalococcoidia
Description: partial 23S ribosomal RNA
Rfam family: Bacterial large subunit ribosomal RNA
Source: RNAcentral
AAGUGCUGAAAGCAUCUAAGCGCGAAGCCCACCCCAAGAUGAGAUCUCCCACUGGAAUUCGGGUUCCCAGCAAGGUUUACUUUGCUGGGUGCUUAACCAGGUAAGGCCGCAAGUAGACUACUUGCUUGAUAGGCGGCAUGUGUAAGCGGAGUAAUCCGUUUAGCUAAGCCGUACUAAUGGCCGAGGCCUUGAC